This 701-nucleotide ribosomal RNA is filed under the name Cyrilliotermes sp. VR-2013. RNAcentral's name for it is "partial 16S ribosomal RNA". The stretch from base 294 to 507 matches the Rfam family "Bacterial large subunit ribosomal RNA", at positions 1695 to 2031 of the family's 2925-position model. The record is from RNAcentral. Lineage: Eukaryota; Metazoa; Arthropoda; Insecta; Blattodea; Termitidae.
UUUAAUUCAUACAUCUUAUUUAAUAUCUGUUGUUGGUCUAUUUAUUUUUAUUUGGUGUUAAGAUUGAGGGGGAUUAGCUCCUUAUUUUUGUUUUAUAAUUUUUAUUUGAAUGUGGUUUUGUGGAUUUUAUGGUGAUUUUCAAUUUGAUUAUGUUAAAAUUUUAUAUUUUUUUAUUGUUUAUUUUUGUGGAAAUUUAAUUUUUUAUUGGAAUGUUUAUUUUAUCUUUGGUUUGUAUAGUAAUUAUUGUGUAAUUAGUAAAUUUUUUGUGCGUGUUGUGUUUUAGUGUUGGUUGUAUAAUUUUCUUUAAGGAAUUAGGCAAAGGUUUAUCAUGUCCGCCUGUUUAACAAAAACAUCUUUUCUUGUUAGUUUUUGAAGUAUGGCCUGCCCGCUGACUUUGAGUUGAAGGGCCGCGGUAUUUUGACCGUGCAAAGGUAGCAUAAUCAUUAGUUCUUUAAUUGUGAUCUGGUAUGAAUGGCUUGACGAGACAUGGGCUGUCUUGGGGGUAUUGUUUUGUUGAAUUUGGUUUUUGAGUUAAAAUUCUUAGAUGUUUUUAUGGGACGAGAAGACCCUAUAGAGUUUAACAUUAUCUUUCCUUGUGGUAAUUGUUGGUUUGAUUUGUAUUGGUUUGAGGUUAGUUGUAGUGUUUUGUUGGGGCGAUGGGAGGGAAUGUUUUUAACUCCUCUUUAUUUUUAUAUAUUUAA